AUGUGACCUCAAAUCAGGUAGGACUACCCGCUGAACUU
RNAcentral lists this ribosomal RNA (38 nucleotides) under Thaxterogaster vibratilis. RNAcentral describes it as "Cortinarius vibratilis partial 28S ribosomal RNA". The record is from RNAcentral. Lineage: Eukaryota; Fungi; Basidiomycota; Agaricomycetes; Agaricales; Cortinariaceae.